UACGAAGGGGGCUAGCAUUGCUCGGAAUUACUGGGCGUAAAGCGCACGUAGGCGGGUGAUUAAGUCAGAGGUGAAAGCCUGGAGCUCAACUCCAGAACUGCCUUUGAUACUGAUCGUCUUGAGUUUGUGAGAGGUAAGUGGAAUACCGAGUGUAGAGGUGAAAUUCGUAGAUAUUCGGUGGAACACCAGUGGCGAAGGCGACUUACUGGCACAAUACUGACGCUGAGGUGCGAAAGCGUGGGGAUCAAACAGG
Molecule: ribosomal RNA, 253 nt
Filed under: uncultured bacterium
Lineage: Bacteria
Description: partial 16S ribosomal RNA
Rfam family: Bacterial small subunit ribosomal RNA
Source: RNAcentral